AGGGCAAAUCAGCUUAUCGCUUUAUAUGAAAAUUGUAAAGAGGAAAGUCUGGGCAGCAAAGAGCACCAUACUUCUUAACGGGAAGGGUUCACAUUAAUUAUUUUUUUGUGAACACAGAAAGUGCCACAGAAAGUUAAACUACCUAUAUUUUUAAAUAUGGGAAAAGGUGAAAAGGUGAGGUAAGAGCUCACCAGAUGUAUGGUGACAUACAUUGCUUGGUAAACCUUAUGGGCUGAAAAACCAUGUAAACCUAGUAUUGAGGGCUGCUCGUCCAAUCUAGGAGGGUAGGUUGUUUGACGUUAAUGGAGACAUUAACGCUAGAGAAAUGAUAAGCGCUAUAGUCAUAAGAUUUUAGUUACAGAACCCGGCUUACGAUUUGUCUUUUUU
RNAcentral lists this RNase P RNA (387 nucleotides) under Crocinitomicaceae bacterium. Its description in RNAcentral is "RNase P RNA component class A". It matches the Rfam family "Bacterial RNase P class A". From Rfam's summary of the family: Ribonuclease P (RNase P) is a ubiquitous endoribonuclease, found in archaea, bacteria and eukarya as well as chloroplasts and mitochondria. Its best characterised activity is the generation of mature 5'-ends of tRNAs by cleaving the 5'-leader elements of precursor-tRNAs. Lineage: Bacteria; Pseudomonadati; Bacteroidota; Flavobacteriia; Flavobacteriales; Crocinitomicaceae. The record is from RNAcentral.